This 4022-nucleotide long non-coding RNA is filed under the name Xyrichtys novacula (pearly razorfish). Lineage: Eukaryota; Metazoa; Chordata; Actinopteri; Labriformes; Labridae. The record is from RNAcentral.
GGUUGAACUUGAGUUUGUGGUGUUUUUUGAACUUGAGUUUGUUUCGUGUUUGAAUUUGAGCUUGUGUGUUUUUUUGUCUAAAGUUUGUGGCACUUUAUGAACUUGAGUUUGUUGAACUUGAGUUUGUGGUCUUUGUUCAACUUGAGUUUGUGAUUUUUAGUGAACUCUAGUUGGUGGCAUCUUUGAACUUGAGUUUGUGGCAUUUGUUGAACUUGAGUUUGUGAUGUGUUUGAACUUGAGUUUGUGGUGUUUUUGAACUUGAGUUUGUGUCCUGUUUGAAAAUGAGUUUGUGGCGUGUUUGAACUUGAGUUUCUGCUGUCUUUGAACUUGAGGUUGUGGCAAUUGUUAAACUUGAGGUUUGGGUGUUGGUUGAUCUUGAGUUUUUGUCUUGUUUGAACUUUUGUUUUUGGAUUUUUUGAACUAGAGUUUGUGUGUUUUUUUAACUUAAGUUUUUGGCAACUUAUGAACUUGAGUAUAUUGAACUUGAGUUUGUGGCAUUUGUUGAACUUGAGUUUGUGAUGUGUUUGCACUCCAGGUUGUGGUGUUUUUGAACUUGAGGUUGUGGCAAUUGUUGAACUUGAGUCUGUGGUUUUUAGUGAACUUAAGUUGGUGGCAAUUCUUUAACUUGAUUUUUGAGUUUGUAGCGUGUUUGAAUUUGAGGUUGUUGCAAUUUUUAAAUUUGAGAUUUGGGUGUUGGUUGAACUUAAAAUUUUCACAUUUAUUGAACUGGAGUUUGUGGUUUUUUGUUGAACUUGAGCUUGUGUUUUUUGAACUUGAGUAUGUGUGUUUGUUGAACUUGAGUUUGUGGUGUUUUUUGAACUUGAGGUUGUGGUUUUUUUUAACCUGAGUUUGUGUUUUUCUUGAACUUGAGUUUUUGGCAUGUUUGAAUUUGAGGUUCUUGCAAUUCUUAAACUUGAGAUUUGGGUGUUGGUUGAACUUGAAACUGUGACAUUUGUUGAACUUGAGUUUGUGGUGUUUGCUGAACCUGAGUUUGUAUCGUGUUUGAAACUGAGUUUGUGGUGUUUUUGAACUUGAGGUUGUGUGUUUUUUGAACUUGAGUUUGUGGUGUUUUUGAACUUCAGUUUGUGGCCCUUUUUUAACUUGAGUUUGUUGAACUUUAGUUUUUGGCAAUUGUUAAAUGUGAGUUUAGGUCAUUUGUUGAACUUGAAAUUUUGGAAUUUGUUGAACUUAAGAUUGUGGUGUUUGUUGAACUUGAGUUUUUGGCAAUUGUUGAACUUGAGUCUGUAUUUUUCUCUAAACUUUAGUUGGUGGCAAUUGUUGAAGUUGAGUUUGUGGUGUUUUUGCACCUGAGUUUGUGUCGUGUCUGAACUUGAGUUUGUGUUGUAUUUGAACUUGAGGUUGUGGCAAUUGUUAAACUUGAGAUUUGGGUGUUGGUUGAACUUGAAAUUGUGGUAUUUGGCAAAUUUGAGUUUGUCGCGUGUUUGAACUUGAGUUUGUGGUGUUUUUGAACUUGAAGUUGUUGAAAUUGUAAAAUUUGAGAUUUGGAUUUGGUUGAACUUGAGUUAGUGUUGCAUUUUGAACUUGAGUUUGUGGUGUUUUUGAGCUUGAGCUUGUGUGUUUUUUGAACUGAAGUUUGUGGCAAUUGUUAAACUUGCGACUUGGGUGUUGGUUGAACUUGAGUUUGUGGUGUUUUUGAACUUGACUUUGUGUGUUUGUUGAACUUGAGUUUGUGGCGUGUUUGAACUUGAGUUUGCGGUGUUUUUGAACUUGAUUUUGUAUGUUUGUUGAACUUGAGUUUGUGGCGUGUUUGAACUUGAGUUUGUGGUGUUUUUGAAAUUAAGGUUUUGGCAAAUGUUAAACUUGAGAUUUGGGUGUUGGUUGAACUUGAGUUUUUGUUGUUUUUGAACUUGAGAUUGUGGUGUUUUUGAACUUCAGUAAGUGUGUUUGUUUAACUUUAGUUUAUGCUGUGUUUGAACUUGAGUUUUUGGUGUUUUUGAAAUUGACUGUGUGUUUGAACUUGAGUUUGUGUUGUGUUUGAACUUGGGCUUGUGUCUUGUUUGAACUUGAGUUUGUGGUGUUUGUUGAACUUGAGUUUGUGUCGUGUUUGCACUUGAGUUUUUGGUGUUUUUGAUCUUGACUUGGUGGUGUAUUUGAACUUGAGUUUUGUGUUUGAACUUGAGUUUGUGGUGUUUGUUGAACUUGAGUUUGUGGCGUGUUUGCACUUGAGUUUUUGGUGUUUUUGAUCUUGAUUUUGUGUGUAUGUUGAACUUGAGUUUGUGGUGUUUUUGAACUUGAGUUGGUGGUGUUAAUGAACUUAAGCUUGUGUUUGAACUUGAGUUUGUGGUUUUUGUUGAACUUGAGUUUGUGUCAUGUUUGAACUUGAUUUUGUGUUGUUUUUAACUUGAGUUUGUGGUUUUUUUUAAGUUGAGGGUGUGGAAUUUGUUGAAUUUGAGGUUGUGGCAAUUGUUAAACUUGAGUUUGUGUUUUAGUUGAACUUGAGUUUGUGUCGUGUUUGCACUUGAGUUAGUGGUGUUUUUUAUGAACUUGAGUUUGUGUGUUUGUUAAACUUGAGGGUGUGGCAAUUGUUAAACUUGAGAUCUGGGUGUUGGUUGAACUUAAGUUUUUUUGUGUUUGAACUUGAGUUUGUGGUGUUUGUUGAAUUUGAGUUUGUGUGUGUUUGAACUUGAUUUUGAGGUGUUUUUGAACCUGAGUUUGUGGUUUUUGUUUGAACUUGAUUUUGUGUGUUUGUUAAACUUGAGUUUGUGUGUUUUUUGAACUUGAGUUGGUGGUGUUUUUGAACUUGAGUUUCGUGUUUGAACCAGAGUUUGUGGUUUUUGUUAAACUUGAGUUUGUGUCAUGUUUUAACUUGAGUUUGUGGUCUUCUUGAAAUUGAGUUUGUGUGUUUUUUGAAGUUAAGGAUGUGGAAUUUGUUGUACUCAAGGUUGUGGAAAUUGUUAAACUUGAGUUUGUGUGUUAUUUGAACUCUAGUGUGUGUUGUAUUUGAACUUCAGUUUGUGUGAUUGUUGAACUUGAGUUUGUGUUGUUUUUGAACUUGAGUUUGUGGUCUUCUUGAAAUUGAGUUUGUGGUGUUUUUAAACUUGAGUUUGUGUGUUUGUUAAACUUGAGGGUGUGGCAAUUGUUAAACUUGAGAUCUGGGUGUUGGUUGAACUUAAGUUUUUGUUGUGUUUGAACUUGAGUUUGUGGUGUUUUUUAACUUGAGUUUGUGGUGUUUUUGAACUUGAAUUUGUUGUGUUUGAACUUGAGUUUGUGGUGUUUGUUGAAUUUGAGUUUGUGUCGUAUUACAACUUGAUUUUGUGGUGUUUUUGAACUUGAGUUUGUGGUUUUUGUUUGAACUUGAUUUUGUGUGUUUGUUAAACUUGAGUUUGUGUGUUUUUUUAACUUGAGUUGGUGGUGUUUUUGAACUUGAGUUUCGUGUUUGAACCAGAGUUUGUGGUUUUUGUUAAAUUUGAGUUUGUGUCAUGUUUUAACUUGAGUUUGUGGUCUUCUUGAAAUUGAGUUUGUGUUAUUUUUGAAGUUGAGGAUUUGGAAUUUGUUGUACUCAAGGUUGUGGAAAUUGUUAAACUUGACUUUGUGUGGUAUUUGAACUCUAGUGUGUGUUGUAUUUGAACUUCAGUUUGUGUGAUUGUUGAACUUGAGUUUGUGUUGUGUUUGAACUUGAGUUUGUGGUGUUUGUUGAACUUGAGUUUGUGUUGUGUUUGCAAUUGAGUUUGUGGUGUUUUUGAACUUGAGUUUGUGGUGUUUUUAAACUUGAGUUUGUGUGUUUGUCAAACUUGAAUUUGUUAUGUUUGAACUUGAGUUUGUGGUGUUUGUUGAACUUGAGUUCGUGUCGUGUUUGCACUUGAGUUUGUGGUGUUUUUGAACUUGAUUUUGUAUGUUUGUUGAACUUGAGUUUGUGGCGUGUUUGAACUUGAGUUUGUGGUGUUUUUGAAAUUAAGGUUUUGGCAAAUGUUAAACUUGAGAUUUGGGUGUUGGUUGAACUUGAGUUUUUGUUGUUUUUGAACUUGAGAUUGUGGUGUUUUUGAACUUCAGUAAGUGUGUUU